AUGGUGCUCCAACUGUCCUAUCCUCCCAACUUCUUGCCCAAAGACCCAACCCCCAAGUCUGUCACCCUCAAUUCACCUUCACACACAUGCAGACAAGAGGUGGUGGUACCAUCGCACGGGCCAGCAUCAUUCCCGAGAUUCUGAGACAUCAGAGGCCGAGGGUGGAGCACCGCUCACUGCGCCAGCCUUUCUGGGUCCACAUCCAUGCAGAGGCCACUCAGGGAUGCUCUGCAGGACCUCUGGGACAACCUUGGGCCCAAGCCUGCCCAUGCAGUGUGGCCUGGAACAGCUGCCACCCACACACAAGGCUCCCCACCGUGCUCUCUUGGCUUGGUCAGCAGCUCAUCUCCUGAGGGCCCUGCCCAGCCCUCUCUCCGCUCUGGACAUUGUCCUUCCCCCACGGCUCGCUCAGGCACUCCCUGAGGGUGCACAAGCUGGCGCAGGAAUGCACUAGGCAGGACACCUUCAGUUGCAGGCGGCAGAACAACCAAAACAAAAGAGAGGCCUUCACAGGCUCACGUGACUGAGAAAUGCAGGGGGAGAGCUGAGUGUAGGCCUGCUGAGUCUGGGGACUCAAACACACCUUCAGAGCACUCCUCACCUCUGUCCCUCAUGCUCUCUGCUUGCCUCUGCUGGAUGGCCUUCGUGCCCCUGAGGCGGGCAAUCUCAGCACAGCAGCCCCAGGUCACAGCCUUGUCACCAUCUAACCAGAAAUAAAUAAAUAAAUACAUAGACAUAUAUAUACACCAUAUAUAAUCACCUUUGUACCUAAUUAUUACCUAUAAUUUCUCACAAAAAUCUUCAAUUCAAAGGUAGGGAUUUUUGUCUGUCUAGUCCACUGCUAUAUUCCCAGGGCCUGUCACAGCACAUAGCAGGUGCUCAAUAAAUAUUUGUUGAAUUAAUGAACUGGUUCUUCAAGCUCUCCUCCCAAUCACCCUAGAGAGACCAAACUAAGCCACUCCAUAGCCCUGGUAAGAUUUCUUUCUCACCCACCCCCACUCUCCCCCAAACCCUAGACCAAAGGCUGGAGCCAGACCCUCCUGAAUGAGGAGCAUGACUGCAGGUGACCCUUGAAGGCGCUAUGGGUGCGGGCUCUCGGGCCUGAGGUGCAGCCUGGGGAGGGGCACAGCUGAGGCCUGGCCUCGAGCGCGCUCCCAGCCUCAGCCCUUCCCGGGGGCUGCUCUGCCUGGUGGACAGGAUCACAGGACGGCACGGAGAGCAGGAACCACGCCCCUCCUCAACCCCUGCUCAGAAGGGGAAGCGGAGGUAAAAGGCUGCCUGGGAAAUGUCACCGGCUAAUGAAUGCUGCUUCGCUGCCAUAGCUGAGGCGUCAGUCAGACGCGUGCGGAGAGAAUGAUAGCCAUCCUCAUUAGGAAUUCAGGAUGACUGCUUCUGCUCUUCUGAACCCAAGGGGCCUUGGCUGAGCCCCCUCCCUCCCACCCCAUCCUGUUGUUCUGCUGUUAACAGAAAUAAUAAAUAUAAAUAUAAGAGAAAUAACAAAUAACACCAAGCUCCCAAGGUUACGGUGAGAAUUAAAUAAGAUAAUACGUGAAAUUCCCUAGCAAAAGGUGAAAUAUGCUAUACAAAGUGGAGACAGAUGAAGCCUAGGAUGAAAAUCCAUCUGCAGGCUGUAAACCCUUCAAGGGCCACGGCUGUGCCCUUUUAAUGGUAUAAACUCACAGGUGGUCUGGUGCACAAUAGAUGCUCAAGAAACCAAGGAAGGAGGAGGGAAAGAGUGGGGACAAUUCAAGGUGGAACCAAGCCCACAGGAGGGCCAAGUCAGAGGCCCCCCGACUUCCCCCCACUCCCCAAAAUGAUAAUAAUUGUGACCCAGUUACCUGC
Molecule: long non-coding RNA, 1842 nt
Organism: Equus caballus (horse)
Lineage: Eukaryota; Metazoa; Chordata; Mammalia; Perissodactyla; Equidae
Source: Ensembl